GACGAACGCUGUCGGCGUGCUUAACACAUGCAAGUCGAACGGAAAGGCCCUGCUUUUGUGGGGUGCUCGAGUGGCGAACGGGUGAGUAACACGUGAGUAACCUGCCCUUGACUUUGGGAUAACUUCAGGAAACUGGGGCUAAUACCGGAUAGGAGCUCCUGCUGCAUGGUGGGGGUUGGAAAGUUUCGGCGGUUGGGGAUGGACUCGCGGCUUAUCAGCUUGUUGGUGGGGUAGUGGCCUACCAAGGCUUUGACGGGUAGCCGGCCUGAGAGGGUGACCGGCCACAUUGGGACUGAGAUACGGCCCAGACUCCUACGGGAGGCAGCAGUGGGGAAUAUUGCACAAUGGGCGGAAGCCUGAUGCAGCAACGCCGCGUGCGGGAUGACGGCCUUCGGGUUGUAAACCGCUUUCGCCUGUGACGAAGCGUGAGUGACGGUAAUGGGUAAAGAAGCACCGGCUAACUACGUGCCAGCAGCCGCGGUGAUACGUAGGGUGCGAGCGUUGUCCGGAUUUAUUGGGCGUAAAGGGCUCGUAGGUGGUUGAUCGCGUCGGAAGUGUAAUCUUGGGGCUUAACCCUGAGCGUGCUUUCGAUACGGGUUGACUUGAGGAAGGUAGGGGAGAAUGGAAUUCCUGGUGGAGCGGUGGAAUGCGCAGAUAUCAGGAGGAACACCAGUGGCGAAGGCGGUUCUCUGGGCCUUUCCUGACGCUGAGGAGCGAAAGCGUGGGGAGCGAACAGGCUUAGAUACCCUGGUAGUCCACGCUGUAAACGGUGGGUACUAGGUGUGGGGUCCAUUCCACGGGUUCCGUGCCGUAGCUAACGCUUUAAGUACCCCGCCUGGGGAGUACGGCCGCAAGGCUAAAACUCAAAGGAAUUGACGGGGCCCCGCACAAGCGGCGGAGCAUGCGGAUUAAUUCGAUGCAACGCGUAGAACCUUACCCGGGUUUGACAUGGAUCGGGAGUGCUCAGAGAUGGGUGUGCCUCUUUUGGGGUCGGUUCACAGGUGGUGCAUGGCUGUCGUCAGCUCGUGUCGUGAGAUGUUGGGUUAAGUCCCGCAACGAGCGCAACCCUUGUUCACUGUUGCCAGCACGUUAUGGUGGGGACUCAGUGGAGACCGCCGGGGUCAACUCGGAGGAAGGUGGGGAUGACGUCAAGUCAUCAUGCCCCUUAUGUCCAGGGCUUCACGCAUGCUACAAUGGCUGGUACAGAGAGUGGCGAGCCUGUGAGGGUGAGCGAAUCUCGGAAAGCCGGUCUCAGUUCGGAUUGGGGUCUGCAACUCGACCUCAUGAAGUCGGAGUCGCUAGUAAUCGCAGAUCAGCAACGCUGUGGUGAAUACGUUCCCGGGGCU
Molecule: ribosomal RNA, 1346 nt
Filed under: uncultured bacterium
Lineage: Bacteria
Description: partial 16S ribosomal RNA
Rfam family: Bacterial small subunit ribosomal RNA
Source: RNAcentral